This 91-nucleotide transfer RNA is filed under the name Marine Group I thaumarchaeote SCGC AAA799-B03. RNAcentral's name for it is "tRNA-Gln". It matches the Rfam family "tRNA". Rfam says of the family: Transfer RNA (tRNA) molecules are approximately 80 nucleotides in length. Their secondary structure includes four short double-helical elements and three loops (D, anti-codon, and T loops). Further hydrogen bonds mediate the characteristic L-shaped molecular structure. tRNAs have two regions of fundamental functional importance: the anti-codon, which is responsible for specific mRNA codon recognition, and the 3' end, to which the tRNAs corresponding amino acid is attached (by aminoacyl-tRNA synthetases). tRNAs cope with the degeneracy of the genetic code in two manners: having more than one tRNA (with a specific anti-codon) for a particular amino acid; and 'wobble' base-pairing, i.e. permitting non-standard base-pairing at the 3rd anti-codon position. RNAcentral also lists the same sequence under 6 other names. The record is from RNAcentral. Lineage: Archaea; Thermoproteati; Nitrososphaerota.
AGCCCGAUAGUCUAGCGGUCAAGGAUUCUGCCCUCUGGAUCUCACAAAGUGGAUAUAGGCGGAGACGGCAGUUCGAAUCUGCCUCGGGCUA